UUGCCAGACUCCUACGGGAGGCAGCAGUGAGGAAUAUUGGUCAAUGGGCGGGAGCCUGAACCAGCCAAGCCGCGUGAAGGAAGAAGGCGCCAGGCGUCGUAAACUUCUUUUGUCGGGGAACAAAGGGCGCCACGCGUGGCGUUGUGAGUGUACCCGAAGAAAAAGCAUCGGCUAACUCCGUGCCAGCAGCCGCGGUAAUACGGAGGAUGCGAGCGUUAUCCGGAUUUAUUGGGUUUAAAGGGAGCGUAGAUGGGUUGUUAAGUCAGUUGUGAAAGUUUGCGGCUCAACCGUAAAAUUGCAAUUGAUACUGGCAGUCUUGAGUACAGUUGAGGUAGGCGGAAUUCGUGGUGUAGCGGUGAAAUGCUUAGAUAUCACGAAGAACUCCGAUUGCGAAGGCAGCUUACUAAACUGCCACUGACAUUGAUGCUCGAAAGUGUGGGUAUCAAACAGGAUUAGAUACCCCCGUA
RNAcentral lists this ribosomal RNA (467 nucleotides) under uncultured bacterium. Its description in RNAcentral is "bacterial SSU rRNA". It matches the Rfam family "Bacterial small subunit ribosomal RNA", at positions 328 to 792 of the family's 1533-position model. The record is from RNAcentral.